AGAGGGUGCAAGCGUUAAUCGGAAUUACUGGGCGUAAAGCGCGCGUAGGCGGCUUGACAAGUCGAGUGUGAAAUCCCCGGGCUUAACCUGGGACCUGCAUUCGAAACUGUCUUGCUAGAGUAUGGGAGAGGGAAGUGGAAUUUCAGGUGUAGCGGUGAAAUGCGUAGAUAUCUGAAGGAACAUCAGUGGCGAAAGCGACUUCCUGGACCAAUACUGACGCUCAGGUGCGAAAGCGUGGGGAGCAAACAAGAUUAGAUACCCUGGUAGUCCACGCCAUAAACGAUGACAACUAGAUGUUGGGAGGGUUAGCCUCUCGGUGUCGUAGCUAACGCGUUAAGUUGUCCGCCUGGGGAGUACGGCCGCAAGGUUG
Molecule: ribosomal RNA, 370 nt
Filed under: uncultured bacterium
Lineage: Bacteria
Description: bacterial SSU rRNA
Rfam family: Bacterial small subunit ribosomal RNA
Source: RNAcentral